Cordylochernes scorpioides is the source of this 72-nucleotide non-coding RNA. The record is from the annotation of a GenBank genome assembly. Lineage: Eukaryota; Metazoa; Arthropoda; Arachnida; Pseudoscorpiones; Chernetidae.
GCAUCGGUGGUUCAGUUGUAGAAUGCUCGCCUGCCACGGGGGGCGCCCCUGGUUCGAUUCCCGGCCGAUGCA